GGAUUAGAUACCCUGGUAGUCCACGCCGUAAACGAUGUCUACUUGGAGGUUGUGCCCUUGAGGCGUGGCUUCCGGAGCUAACGCGUUAAGUAGACCGCCUGGGGAGUACGGCCGCAAGGUUAAAACUCAAAUGAAUUGACGGGGGCCCGCACAAGCGGUGGAGCAUGUGGUUUAAUUCGAUGCAACGCGAAGAACCUUACCUGGUCUUGACAUCCACAGAACUUUCCAGAGAUGGAUUGGUGCCUUCGGGAACUGUGAGACAGGUGCUGCAUGGCUGUCGUCAGCUCGUGUUGUGAAAUGUUGGGUUAAGUCCCGCAACGAGCGCAACCCUUAUCCUUUGUUGCCAGCGAUUAGGUCGGGAACUCAAAGGAGACUGCCAGUGAUAAACUGGAGGAAGGUGGGGAUGACGUCAAGUCAUCAUGGCCCUUACGACCAGGGCUACACACGUGCUACAAUGGCGCAUACAAAGAGAAGCGACCUCGCGAGAGCAAGCGGACCUCAUAAAGUGCGUCGUAGUCCGGAUUGGAGUCUGCAACUCGACUCCAUGAAGUCGGAAUCGCUAGUAAUCGUGGAUCAGAAUGCCACGGUGAAUACGUUCCCGGGCCUUGUACACACCGCCCGUCACACCAUGGGAGUGGGUUGCAAAAGAAGUAGGUAGCUUAACCUUCGGGAGGGCGCUUACCACUUUGUGAUUCAUGACUGGGGUGAAGUCGUAACAAGGUAACCGUAGGGGAACCUGCGGUUGGA
RNAcentral lists this ribosomal RNA (747 nucleotides) under Salmonella enterica. Its description in RNAcentral is "bacterial SSU rRNA". It matches the Rfam family "Bacterial small subunit ribosomal RNA", at positions 775 to 1522 of the family's 1533-position model. Lineage: Bacteria; Pseudomonadati; Pseudomonadota; Gammaproteobacteria; Enterobacterales; Enterobacteriaceae. The record is from RNAcentral.